GGGAGCGUGCAUGAACUGUAGGAGGCAGCACAGGAGCCGUCAGAUUUUUGGCGCGAGGCGUAAAUGUGAUGUUUAUUGUUCCGAUGUAGCCCACAAGAUGGCAGAACCUACUAUGCACAAGAAAACACUUUAAAAGAAAGGUGAUGAAAUAUGUUGGCUUACUGGAUAUCACAAAUAAUUCGCCACAGAUUCACAGAUGACUUAAAAAUACUUAAUAAAAUAUUUAUAUAAAAUAUUUGUAUAUAAGUAGUUAAUAAUUGUUAUCAACUAUUUACCAUAUGUACUGGUACUAAUUAAUUUAACCGUAAGAUUACUGCAUGUUCACUGGUAGAAGACACUUAUAUAAGAUGUGGUUACCUAUAAUUAGAUAAGCAUCAGUCCUGAUUGUCAUAUAGAUUUAAGAGCAUGUAAGAUGUAUUAUCUGUUGGUAAUCCUAAAAAAAAAAAAAAAAGACAUAGUCAAAAAUAAAUAUUUGUUAACUCUCUCUAACCAGUGCCGCGUCUACAAGACACGGCUUAUGCUGAGCGGCAUCCUAUUUGGUGUACAUGUAAUUAUUUACUUUGUUGUUUUUAUGUUUUGAUUUUAUGCCAAAUAAAUAUUUUUCUAUUC
Cydia pomonella (codling moth) is the source of this 609-nucleotide long non-coding RNA. RefSeq lists it as uncharacterized. NCBI's taxonomy places the organism in Eukaryota, Metazoa, Arthropoda, Insecta, Lepidoptera, Tortricidae. The transcript is spliced from 2 exons. The record is from RefSeq and is a predicted model, not a curated record.